This 470-nucleotide ribosomal RNA is filed under the name uncultured bacterium. RNAcentral's name for it is "partial 16S ribosomal RNA". It matches the Rfam family "Bacterial small subunit ribosomal RNA", at positions 28 to 507 of the family's 1533-position model. The record is from RNAcentral.
GACGAACGCUGGCGGCGUGCUUAACACAUGCAAGUCGAACGGUGAACGAGGGAGCUUGCUCCCUCCGGAUCAGUGGCGAACGGGUGAGUAACACGUGAGCAAUCUGCCCCGAACUCUGGGAUAAGCGUUGGAAACGACGUCUAAUACCGGAUACGACGCGGGAGGGCAUCCUCUCCGCGUGGAAAGAACUUCGGUUCGGGAUGAGCUCGCGGCCUAUCGGCUUGUUGGUGAGGUAACGGCUCACCAAGGCGACGACGGGUAGCCGGCCUGAGAGGGUGACCGGCCACACUGGGACUGAGACACGGCCCAGACUCCUACGGGAGGCAGCAGUGGGGAAUAUUGCACAAUGGGCGCAAGCCUGAUGCAGCAACGCCGCGUGAGGGACGACGGCCUUCGGGUUGUAAACCUCUUUUAGCAGGGAAGAAGCGAAAGUGACGGUACCUGCAGAAAAAGCACCGGCUAACUACGUG